Long non-coding RNA from Quercus lobata, 193 nucleotides. RefSeq lists it as uncharacterized. NCBI's taxonomy places the organism in Eukaryota, Viridiplantae, Streptophyta, Magnoliopsida, Fagales, Fagaceae. The record is from RefSeq and is a predicted model, not a curated record. The transcript is spliced from 3 exons.
CAUUCCUUUCUCAGAGCAUCCCUCUUCUCUCAGUCUGGCUCUAUCUGUUCAUAGCCUUUGCUGCCUCAAGUCUUGACCUCUAAUUGGAGAGUAUAACUUAUCGUCAACAAGUGGAACAAGAGUUUAUAUUGAUUUGGACAUUCCUGAGACUACUAAAUUCAAAGAUCAGCUUGUGGAAAAUAACCAACCAAUA